RNAcentral lists this long non-coding RNA (242 nucleotides) under Helianthus annuus (common sunflower). Its description in RNAcentral is "hypothetical non coding rna". The stretch from base 139 to 242 matches the Rfam family "Small nucleolar RNA Z43". The record is from RNAcentral. Lineage: Eukaryota; Viridiplantae; Streptophyta; Magnoliopsida; Asterales; Asteraceae.
GAUGUUCAGAUGAUGAUCAAUUGCAUAGUUCAAAUGAAUGUUUGUGAUUAGAAAAGUUUUAGUCUUUCGCUCCUAUCUGAUGAACUCAGAAAUAUUUUUUUUUUUAAUUUGAUAAUGAUUGUAUUAAAUUUAAUAAUGGGAUAAUGACGAUUUCAUGUGAUAAGGUCUCGUUCGUCGUAAUGGUGUGAUGAACUCACACCUUGCCGACCAUCCUAUUAUAUCACCACCCAUAAACUGAAUCC